GCCCCCUUAGCUCAGGGGAUAGAGCGUCUGCCUCCGGAGCAGAAGGCCGCAGGUUCGAUUCCUGCAGGGGGCACCA
RNAcentral lists this transfer RNA (76 nucleotides) under Coriobacteriales bacterium. RNAcentral's name for it is "tRNA-Arg". It matches the Rfam family "tRNA". From Rfam's summary of the family: Transfer RNA (tRNA) molecules are approximately 80 nucleotides in length. Their secondary structure includes four short double-helical elements and three loops (D, anti-codon, and T loops). Further hydrogen bonds mediate the characteristic L-shaped molecular structure. tRNAs have two regions of fundamental functional importance: the anti-codon, which is responsible for specific mRNA codon recognition, and the 3' end, to which the tRNAs corresponding amino acid is attached (by aminoacyl-tRNA synthetases). tRNAs cope with the degeneracy of the genetic code in two manners: having more than one tRNA (with a specific anti-codon) for a particular amino acid; and 'wobble' base-pairing, i.e. permitting non-standard base-pairing at the 3rd anti-codon position. The record is from RNAcentral. Lineage: Bacteria; Bacillati; Actinomycetota; Coriobacteriia; Coriobacteriales.